This 253-nucleotide ribosomal RNA is filed under the name uncultured bacterium. RNAcentral's name for it is "partial 16S ribosomal RNA". It matches the Rfam family "Bacterial small subunit ribosomal RNA", at positions 524 to 776 of the family's 1533-position model. The record is from RNAcentral.
UACGUAGGAUUCAAGCGUUGUUCGGAAUUACUGGGCGUAAAGGGUGCGUAGGCGGUUUGGUAAGUCGGAUGUUAAAUACAGAAGCUUAACUUCUGAACUGUAUCGGAAACUGUCAGACUAGAGGACAAUAGAGGAAGUCGGAAUUCUCAGUGUAGCGGUGAAAUGCGUAGAUAUUGGGAAGAACACCAGUGGCGAAAGCGGACUUCUGGGUUGUUACUGACGCUGAGGUACGAAAGCGUGGGGAGCAAACGGG